CUUGAAAAAGGUAUCUGGACAAAUACAGAGUUCUCAGUGGCAACUUUUAUAGCACUAUAUAUAUUGUUCUUAUUCUUAACAUUCCACAGCAUGAAAAGAUGAUCUACAGAAAUGCUAACAAUGUAUCUAACAUUUAUUCUUGGAAAUUUCGAAUCAAACAGAAUUAGCAACAAAGGAAGCGCAAACAUCAAACCACCCCCAACAGGAAGUGUCCAGGAAGGCCGUGCAAGACACGUGACCAGGGCUGUUAAAAC
This is a non-coding RNA of Pelobates cultripes (western spadefoot toad), 254 nucleotides long. The record is from the annotation of a GenBank genome assembly. Lineage: Eukaryota; Metazoa; Chordata; Amphibia; Anura; Pelobatidae.